Molecule: ribosomal RNA, 468 nt
Filed under: uncultured bacterium
Lineage: Bacteria
Description: partial 16S ribosomal RNA
Rfam family: Bacterial small subunit ribosomal RNA
Source: RNAcentral
GACGAACGCUGGCGGCGUGCUUAACACAUGCAAGUCGAACGGAAAGGCCCUGCUUUUGUGGGUUGCUCGAUUGCCGAACGGGGGAGAAACACGUGAGUAACCUGCCCUUGACUUUGGGAUAACUCCAGGAAACUGGGGCUAUUACCGGAUAGGAGCUCUUGCUGCAUGGUGGGGGUUGGAAAGUUUCGGCGGUUGGGGAUGGACUCGCGGCUUAUCAGCUUGUUGGUGGGGUAGUGGCUUACCAAGGCUUUGACGGGUAGCCGGCCUGAGAGGGUGACCGGCCACAUUGGGACUGAGAUACGGACCAGACUCCUACGGGAGGCAGCAGUGGGGAAUAUUGCACAAUGGGCGGAAGCCUGAUGCAGCAACGCCGCGUGCGGGAUGACGGCCUUCGGGUUGUAAACCGCUUUCGCCUGUGACGAAGCGUGAGUGACGGUAAUGGGUAAAGAAGCACCGGCUAACUACGUG